UACGAAGGGGGGCUAGCGUUGUUCGGAAUUACUGGGCGUAAAGCGUGCGCAGGCGGUCUCUCAAGUCAGGGGUGAAAGCCCAGAGCUCAACUCUGGAAUUGCCUUUGAAACUGUGAGGCUCGAGUACGGGAGAGGUGAGUGGAAUUCCCAGUGUAGAGGUGAAAUUCGUAGAUAUUGGGAAGAACACCCGUGGCGAAGGCGGCUCUCUGGAACGCAACUGACGCUGAGACGCGAAAGCGUGGGGAGCAAACAGG
RNAcentral lists this ribosomal RNA (254 nucleotides) under uncultured bacterium. Its description in RNAcentral is "partial 16S ribosomal RNA". It matches the Rfam family "Bacterial small subunit ribosomal RNA", at positions 524 to 776 of the family's 1533-position model. The record is from RNAcentral.